AACGAACGCUGGCGGCAUGCCUAACACAUGCAAGUCGAACGAGACCUUCGGGUCUAGUGGCGCACGGGUGCGUAACGCGUGGGAACCUGCCCUUAGGUUCGGAAUAACUCCCCGAAAGGGGUGCUAAUACCGGAUAAUAUCUUCGGACCAAAGAUUUAUCGCCUUUGGAUGGGCCCGCGUUGGAUUAGCUAGUUGGUAGGGUAAAAGCCUACCAAGGCGACGAUCCAUAGCUGGUCUGAGAGGAUGAUCAGCCACACUGGGACUGAGACACGGCCCAGACUCCUACGGGAGGCAGCAGUGGGGAAUAUUGGACAAUGGGCGAAAGCCUGAUCCAGCAAUGCCGCGUGAGUGAUGAAGGCCUUAGGGUUGUAAAGCUCUUUUACCCGGGAUGAUAAUGACAGUACCGUGAGAAUAAGCUCCGGCUAACUCCGUG
Molecule: ribosomal RNA, 433 nt
Filed under: uncultured bacterium
Lineage: Bacteria
Description: partial 16S ribosomal RNA
Rfam family: Bacterial small subunit ribosomal RNA
Source: RNAcentral